GACGAACGCUGGCGGCGUGCCUAAUACAUGCAAGUCGGACGCACAGUCUAUACCGUAGCUUGCUACACCAUAGGCUGUGAGUUGCGAACGGGUGAGUAACGCGUAGGUAACCUGCCUAUUAGAGGGGGAUAACUAUUGGAAACGAUAGCUAAUACCGCAUAACAGUAUGUAACACAUGUUAGAUGCUUGAAAGAUGCAAUUGCAUCGCUAGUAGAUGGACCUGCGUUGUAUUAGCUAGUAGGUAGGGUAAUGGCCUACCUAGGCGACGAUACAUAGCCGACCUGAGAGGGUGAUCGGCCACACUGGGACUGGGACACGGCCCAGACUCCUACGGGAGGCAGCAGUAGGGAAUCUUCGGCAAUGGGGGGAACCCUGAACGCGCAACGCCGCGUGAGUGAAGAAGGUUUUCGGAUCGUAAAGCUCUGUUGUUAAGGAAGAACGAGUGUGAGAAUGGAAAGUUCAUACUGUGACGGUACUUAACCAGAAAGGGACGGCUAACUACGUG
Molecule: ribosomal RNA, 505 nt
Filed under: uncultured bacterium
Lineage: Bacteria
Description: partial 16S ribosomal RNA
Rfam family: Bacterial small subunit ribosomal RNA
Source: RNAcentral